RNAcentral lists this ribosomal RNA (1394 nucleotides) under uncultured bacterium. Its description in RNAcentral is "bacterial SSU rRNA". It matches the Rfam family "Bacterial small subunit ribosomal RNA". The record is from RNAcentral.
AGAGUUUGAUCCUGGCUCAGGACGAGCGCUGGCGGCGUGCCUAAUCUAUGCAAGUCGAAUGGUACUUGUACCAUGGCAGACGAGUGAGUAACACGUAGGAAUGUACCCUAGAGUGGAGGAUAACUACUGGAAACGGUAGAUAAUACUCCGUACGCUCUUCCGAUUUAUCGGUAGAGGAAAGAUUUAUCGCUCUUGGAUCAGCCUGCGUCCCAUCAGCUAGUUGGUAAGGUAAUGGCUUACCAAGGCUAUGACGGGUAGGGGGCGUGAGAGCGUGUACCCCCACGGUGGAACUGAGACACGGUCCACACACCUACGGGUGGCAGCAAGUAGGAAUCGUGCGCAAUGGGCGAAAGCCUGACGCCGCGACGCCGCGUGAAGGAAGACGGCCUUCGGGUUGUAAACUUACAUUAAAAAGUCACGGCUAACUUCGUGCCAGCAGCAGCGGUAAUACGGAGGUGGCAAGCGUUGUCCGAUGUUAUUGGGCGUAAAGAGUUCUGUAGGCGGAACUGUAAGUUAUAAGUUAAAGCCUCCGGCUCAACCGGAGAUCUGCUUGUAAUACUGCAGUUCUAGAGUAAGGUAGGGGCUAGCGGAACGUACGGUGUAGUAGUGAAAUGCGUUGAUAUCGUACGGAACACCAAAGGCGUAGGCAGCUAGCUGGGCCUUUACUGACGCUGAGAGACGAAAGCGUGGGGAGCAAAAGGGAUUAGAUACCCCUGUAGUCCACGCCGUAAACUAUGCCGACUAGGAGGUGGUAAUUUAUCACUUUCGUAGCUAACGCGUUAAGUCGGCCGCCUGGGAAGUACGGCCGCAAGGCUAAAACUCAAAGGAAUUGGCGGGGACCCGCACAAGCGGUGGAGCGCCUGGUUUAAUUCGAUGCUAAGCGAAGAACCUUACCUGGGUUUGACAUGCUACUGCAAACCUCCCGAAAGGGAGGAAUCCUUCGAGGGUGUAGCACAGGUGUUGCACGGCUGUCGUCAGCUCGAGUCGUGAGAUGUUCGGUUAAGUCCGUUAUCGAGCGCAACCCCUACUACUAGUUGUAUCACUCUAGUGGAACUGCCCGGGCAACCGGGAGGAAGGCGGGGAUGACGUCAAGUCAGCGUGGCCCUUAUGUCCAGGGCGACACAGGCGCUACAAUGGCUGGUACAAUGGGUAGCAACCUGGCGACAGGAAGCAAAUCCCAAAAAGCCAGUCUCAGUCCGGAUUGGAGUCUGCAACUCGACUCCAUGAAGUCGGAAUCGCUAGUAAUCGCUGGUCAGCCACACAGCGGUGAAUACGUUCUCGGGUCUUGCACACACCGCCCGUCAAUUGGGGGAAGUUGGAAAUACCCGAAGUCUCUUUUUUAAAAGGGCCUAAGGUAGAGCCAAUGACCAACAAUAAGUCGUAACAAGGUAACC